This 1083-nucleotide unclassified non-coding RNA is filed under the name Rhizobium leguminosarum. Its description in RNAcentral is "partial contains 16S ribosomal RNA, 16S-23S ribosomal RNA intergenic spacer, and 23S ribosomal RNA". The stretch from base 1 to 89 matches the Rfam family "Bacterial small subunit ribosomal RNA", at positions 1445 to 1533 of the family's 1533-position model. The record is from RNAcentral. Lineage: Bacteria; Pseudomonadati; Pseudomonadota; Alphaproteobacteria; Hyphomicrobiales; Rhizobiaceae.
GGAGGCAGCUAACCACGGUAGGGUCAGCGACUGGGGUGAAGUCGUAACAAGGUAGCCGUAGGGGAACCUGCGGCUGGAUCACCUCCUUUCUAAGGAAGCUGUGGAAUUGGUAAGACGACAGGCUCAUGUCUUCGGAUAUGCCCCUGUAUGAACCUUCCCGUGCUUUUUAGAACAUAGAUGGCGCCAGUCAGGCGACCAUCGAAACGCAAUACGCCGUAGACAUGCUUGCAUGCACGGUAUGGCGAGCUGCGCCGUCCACGUUUCUCUUUCUUCAUUAGGAUAUGUCCUCGCGGCGGUGUCGCGCUCGUUACCGAGCGCUCGCCACCAGACGGGGCGCGCCAGACGACUGGCGACGGCCUCUGGCCUUUAUGGGCAAGCGUCACGGAUGUCGAGUUCGUAGAGAUCGGGCCCGUAGCUCAGUUGGUUAGAGCACACGCUUGAUAAGCGUGGGGUCGGUAGUUCAAGUCUACCCGGGCCCACCAUUUGCUUUAGCAAACGUAGGUUUGCUUGUUGGCAGGUGGAUUGUUUGAGAUCUUGAUCCUCCUGAUGGCUUUGUCAUCAGGUGUUGCGAUGGUUGGGGCUGUAGCUCAGCUGGGAGAGCACCUGCUUUGCAAGCAGGGGGUCAGCGGUUCGAUCCCGCUCAGCUCCACCAAUUCGCUUUUGGUGUCGAGAGAGUGGUUUGCAUAUCCUUUGAAGAAGUAAAAGUUUGCAUCGGACUUCGGUCUGUUGCCUGUUCUGCAUAAAUCGUGAAGAGAAGAUAGAUCUGGAGGCUUCCAGGUAUUGGGUUCUGCCCAAUGUCCGAGCCCAGUUCCUGUGAAACCGUUGUGGGCCUAGCCGGCCCUACAUGGUGGAGGGCUGGAGGUAGGUAGGAAGCUUGUCGCUCUGGGUCGUUGUUGUUUGGGGUCUUUAGGGGCUUCAUCUGACGGACGACUUGAUUGCCGUUGCCUGACCGCGCGGUAUCGGAUCUUAUCUCGAGAAGCUGGUCUUAAAGACAGACUGCAAGCGAACUGCUCGGCGUAGUUCCAAUAAAGCAGAUCUGUCGAACACGUCGAUGGCAUUGUUAGAAAGCAGUGGUUGUAAAAG